Nicotiana sylvestris (wood tobacco) is the source of this 115-nucleotide non-coding RNA. The record is from Rfam. Lineage: Eukaryota; Viridiplantae; Streptophyta; Magnoliopsida; Solanales; Solanaceae.
UUGCUUGCUGAUGCAGCACCAUCAAGAUUCACAUAGAAAUAUGGAGAGAAAUUGAAAUGAAAUCUGCCCUAGUAAUUUGACAUGAGAAUCUUGAUGAUGCUGCAGUAGCAAAUGA